Molecule: ribosomal RNA, 460 nt
Filed under: uncultured bacterium
Lineage: Bacteria
Description: partial 16S ribosomal RNA
Rfam family: Bacterial small subunit ribosomal RNA
Source: RNAcentral
CCUACGGGUGAGCUGCAGUGAGGAAUAUAGGUCAAUGGCCGGAAGGCUGAACCAGCCAAGCCGCGUGAAGGACGAAGGUGCCAAGCAUUGUAAACUUCUUUUGUCAAGGGACAAAAUCAGGCUCGAGAGCCUGACCGAGGGUACUUGAAGAAAAAGCAUCGGCUAACUCCGUGCCAGCAGCCGCGGUUAUACGGGGGAUGCGAGCGUUAUCCGGUUUUAUGGGGUUAAAGGAGUGCGUAGGCGGGCUGUUAAGUCAGCGGUAAAAUCCCGGGGCGAAACCCCGGCGAGCAGUUGAAAAUGGCUGUCUUGAGAUGUCGAGAGGUAUGCGGAAUGCGCAGUGUAGCGGUGAAAUGCUUAGAUAUUGCGCAGAACUCCGAUUGCGAAGGCAGCAUACCGGCGGCGAUCUGACGCUGAGGCACGAAAGCGUGGGUAUCGAACAGGAUUAGAUACCCCUGUAGUC